Non-coding RNA from Nicotiana sylvestris (wood tobacco), 97 nucleotides. Lineage: Eukaryota; Viridiplantae; Streptophyta; Magnoliopsida; Solanales; Solanaceae. The record is from Rfam.
GUGAGCCGUAUGAUAGGCAACUAUCUCCUGUGGUUCCGAGAGGACUCAGCUGUUAGUUAGUACCCUGUUGGUUUUGGUGUGGACCUUUUCACUCUAU